GUGAUAAACUUGAUGUCAUUUCUGAGAUGAGAUCUUCAUUGUAACAGAGAACUUGUUUUAAACUAAUCAUGGAAUAAUGUUUAGUAUGUGCUAGAAGAUAAAUCUGAGCAGCUUUUGGGAUCCUAGCGUGGAAAAGCCCCAAAGGUUAAAAAUUCAAAAAUAAAGCAUGGUCAUUUCUGUUUCUAAGUUACUGCCAUGGAUGUCUCAAAGAUGCUGAAUUCAAUUGCCCAGGAAAUCUUAUCGAGAUGAUAUUUAGAAUGUCAAAAGAUGCACUCAGAAAGAUAAGGAGGACUUAACAAGCACUAUCAAUCACCUGCUAACAGCUGUAAGCCCAGCUGAUAUUAGAAGGUUCUGCAGGAGGAGCUAAUGAAGGUUUAUGUCCAUGCAGUUAUCAAGGAUUGCUCCCAAAAGCUUUGAGGACAGCUUCUUCCUCCUGGUCUGACACUGUGUCUCUGUCAAGAGCAGCCUGAGCCUGUCCCAUGCCAGCUGCCUGCUUUCAAUUUAUGUGGAGAUAUUCUUUAUUCUUUUUCCUCCUGACCUCCAUGACCCUAUUUGUGCUACUGCAAAAAGAAGGAUGAUUGUCUAGCAUCCAUGAAUCACCUCAACUUGAUAUUUUCAGACUGUUUAAAACCUCAGCCAUCACUACUGACUAUGUGCAUCUCUCUCCUGCCAUGGAGAAAACACUAUUUCACUACAUUAAGAGUUUUCAUUUAUUGGCUUAUAUUAUGCAGUACACUUCUUUAUAAUGGUAUAAAUUUUUAUCAAAACUUUUAUUUUUUAUUCUGAAUAGUAGUCCACCCCAAACUGCUUUACAAAUUAAUCUGGGAAGAAACAUAGUGCCAUGUGCAUCUGAUAUAAUCAUAACCACAAAUCUCAAAGGCAUUAAUGAAAGUCAGGAUAUUUAAAUAUCUUGUGUACUUACUGGAAAACCUUGGAAAACCACUGCCUUCAAAGUAGAGUUAACAUGUUUUAAAUAUUGGAAAUAGGAUUGCAUUCUUGUUUUAGAAAUAAGCCUUGAUGAGGGAAACAUGGAAUUCCCAUCUCAGAGGGACAGAAAAAUAAGACUGGGAUGCAGUUUCCCAGGGGGUUGGAUGCAGCAGCUGCCUGCAGAGGAGGUCAUCCUCCUUCACCCCCAGCCAUGCACCCUGUCUGACCCCGGGGUCACUUCCAGAACUGAGUGGCUUGCUGUCACUUGUGAUAUUCCUGUGAUCCUGGCUAUCCUAGAGCCAUGCAAUGCUGAGAUCUGUUUCCCAGUGGAGGCAGGAAGGUGUGGUUGGCUGUGGAAGGAAAGAUCUCCUCUAUAAGGCCAGUUUAAGAAUUCAACUGUCCUUACUUCUCAUUCUGUUUCA
Molecule: long non-coding RNA, 1349 nt
Organism: Passer domesticus (house sparrow)
Lineage: Eukaryota; Metazoa; Chordata; Aves; Passeriformes; Passeridae
Exons: 3
Source: RefSeq, a predicted model, not a curated record